Molecule: signal recognition particle RNA, 232 nt
Filed under: Vulpes vulpes (red fox)
Lineage: Eukaryota; Metazoa; Chordata; Mammalia; Carnivora; Canidae
Description: Metazoan signal recognition particle RNA (ENSVVUG00000013445.1)
Rfam family: Metazoan signal recognition particle RNA
About the family: The signal recognition particle (SRP) is a universally conserved ribonucleoprotein. It is involved in the co-translational targeting of proteins to membranes.
Source: RNAcentral
GCCAGGCAUUGUGACAUGUGCCUGUAGUCCCAGCUACUUGGGAGGCUGAGGCGUGAGGAUGCCCUUCAGGUAUACGCACUAAGUUCAGCAUCAAUAUGGUAACCUCUCAGGAGCAGGGGAGCCACCACGUUGCCUAAGGAGGCGUAAAUUGGCCCAGGGCAGAAAUACAGCAGAUCAAAACUCCUAUGCUGAUCAGUAGUGGGCUCGUGACUAUGAAUGCCAGUACAUUUCU